CGCGUAGGCGGAUGACACAGUCAGGCGUGAAAUUCCCGGGCUCAACCUGGGGGCUGCGCUUGAUACAUGUUGUCUUGAGUUCGGAAGAGGGUCGUGGAAUUCCCAGUGUAGAGGUGAAAUUCGUAGAUAUUGGGAAGAACACCGGUGGCGAAGGCGGCGACCCGGUCCGAUACUGACGCUGAGGCGCGAAAGCGUGGGGAGCAAACAGGAUUAGAUACCCUGGUAGUCCACGCCGUAAACGAUGUGUGCUGGAUGUUGGGCAGCCUAGCUGUUCAGUGUCGUAGCCAACGCGAUAAGCACACCGCCUGGGGAGUACGGCCGCAAGGUUGAA
RNAcentral lists this ribosomal RNA (331 nucleotides) under uncultured bacterium. RNAcentral's name for it is "bacterial SSU rRNA". It matches the Rfam family "Bacterial small subunit ribosomal RNA", at positions 568 to 898 of the family's 1533-position model. The record is from RNAcentral.